GAUGAACGCUGGCGGCGUGCCUAAUACAUGCAAGUCGAGCGAACAGACGAGAAGCUUGCUUUUCUGAUGUUAGCGGCGGACGGGUGAGUAACACGUGGAUAACCUACCUAUAAGACUGGGAUAACUUCGGGAAACCGGAGCUAAUACCGGAUAAUAUUUUGAACCGCAUGGUUCAAAAGUGAAAGACGGUCUUGCUGUCACUUAUAGAUGGAUCCGCGCCGCAUUAGCUAGUUGGUAAGGUAACGGCUUACCAAGGCAACGAUGCAUAGCCGACCUGAGAGGGUGAUCGGCCACACUGGAACUGAGACACGGUCCAGACUCCUACGGGAGGCAGCAGUAGGGAAUCUUCCGCAAUGGGCGAAAGCCUGACGGAGCAACGCCGCGUGAGUGAUGAAGGUCUUCGGAUCGUAAAACUCUGUUAUUAGGGAAGAACAUAUGUGUAAGUAACUGUGCACAUCUUGACGGUACCUAAUCAGAAAGCCACGGCUAACUACGUG
RNAcentral lists this ribosomal RNA (497 nucleotides) under uncultured bacterium. RNAcentral's name for it is "partial 16S ribosomal RNA". It matches the Rfam family "Bacterial small subunit ribosomal RNA", at positions 28 to 507 of the family's 1533-position model. The record is from RNAcentral.